GUAGGUCCCGAGCGUUGUCCGGAUUUAUUGGGCGUAAAGCGAGCGCAGGCGGUUUGAUAAGUCAGAAGUAAAAGGCUGUGGCUCAACCAUAGUACGCUUUUGAAACUGUCAAACUUGAGUGCAGAAGGGGGGAGUGGAAUUCCAUGUGUAGCGGUGAAAUGCGUAGAUAUAUGGAGGAACACCGGUGGCGAAAGCGGCUCUCUGGUCUGUAACUGACGCUGAGGCUCGAAAGCGUGGGUAGCGAA
Molecule: ribosomal RNA, 245 nt
Filed under: uncultured bacterium
Lineage: Bacteria
Description: partial 16S ribosomal RNA
Rfam family: Bacterial small subunit ribosomal RNA
Source: RNAcentral